UGAGGAAUAUUGCGCAAUGGGCGAAAGCCUGACGCAGCGACGCCGCGUGGAGGAUGAAGGUCUUCGGAUUGUAAACUUCUGUUAAGUGGGAAGAAAGAGCCGUUUUUAAUAGAGACGGUAAAUGACGGUACCAUUAAAGAAAGCACCGGCUAAACUCGUGCCAGCAGCCGCGGUAAUACGAGUGGUGCAAGCGUUAUUCGGAAUAAUUGGGCGUACAGGGUGUGUAGGCGGCAUGUUAAGUCUGUUGUUAAAUUCUCCAGCCUAACUGGAGACAGGCAGCGGAAACUGGCGUGCUAGAGGGUGGAAGAGAGAAGUGGAAUUCUCGGUGUAGCGGUAAAAUGCGUAGAUAUCGAGAGGAACACCGAUGGCGAAGGCAGCUUCUUGGUCCAUUCCUGACGCUGAAACACGAAAGCGUGGGGAGCAAACA
This 427-nucleotide ribosomal RNA is filed under the name uncultured prokaryote. Its description in RNAcentral is "bacterial SSU rRNA". It matches the Rfam family "Bacterial small subunit ribosomal RNA", at positions 355 to 774 of the family's 1533-position model. The record is from RNAcentral.